Pecten maximus is the source of this 1191-nucleotide long non-coding RNA. RefSeq lists it as uncharacterized. The transcript has 2 exons. NCBI's taxonomy places the organism in Eukaryota, Metazoa, Mollusca, Bivalvia, Pectinida, Pectinidae. The record is from RefSeq and is a predicted model, not a curated record.
CAGGCACCAAGUGAUCCGUGCUUCCCGAACAGUUGCUCUGGAGGUGAUCGAUGUGUCGUGCUGAAGAUGGGGACCGGUAUCUGUGUACAGCCAGGCCCAGUCCAAAAAGACGACACCACACAGAUUGAUAUGUCGGGAGAUGGCGACGAAAUAAUGGUGAGCGAACCACUGUUCUACGAUGGCCCCGAAAUAAUGGUAGGCGAACCACUCUACUAUCCCAUCGCGGACACCGGUUAGUCCACAAGGUGACGGCUAUGGACAAUGCACCAUGCAUGGACACACUGCAAAACUUUGAAAUCGCUUUUUUGAUGGACUCUUACAGAUCAUUACGCUGCUCCAUCCGCCAAUCAAAAGCGACGUUAUAAACAGCGACGUCAUUUUACGUUAUGGACUGACAACAUAAAGAUAAUCGAUCUUUAUGCUUUAAUAAAGUAAAAUCUGGUCAAACAAAACGCUCGCACUACCUGCUAUAGACACCCGGAAGUGUAACGGCAUGGUUAUUUUGUGUUAUAUGUCUGAUCCACAUAAGCUUUUUUUAUUCUCAUGAAACUAGCAUUUUACGCGUGUUUUGUCGAAAUUUGCAGGUAACUUAACAAAUUAAAUGUCAAAAUCAAGACCCAUGGAUAGCCAUGAUACAUGUUAACUAUUGGUCAAGUUACUUCUGUUUACUAGCAACAGAAUAGUGAUUUUAGGCUUGUAAAAUAUCAUUUGAUUUACUAUUUACAUGAACCAUAAGCAAAAUUAAUGAAAAUAACAAUAUCAAAAUAGUGCAGGAAAUCUUUCAAAAACAUGUACCUAGUACUUGAUUUAGAGAGAUAUUAGUUUUAACCUUUGAAAAAACUGUAUCAAUGAUAUUUACCAGAAAAGAGACCAUACAUCCACAUAUAGUUCAGUAAUUCCUCUCCUACUCACUAAGGCGUAUAUAUGUACUCUCAGUGAUAUUAGCUUUCUAUACAACCUACUGAUUAUUUACUGAAAAUGAUUAUUGUUUAGACGGAGGCAGAUUUGAAAUAGUUAAAUCCACCCAUUGGGAAAACUGAUGAAAAUAAUGAUCAACUGAAACUAUUAAUGUCCAUCAUUAUAACUGCUGUAAAUGUACUUUGACUUUAAUUCAAGCAUUGUUUCAAGUAUUGUUGUAUUUUGAACAUUAUAUUUUGUUAUUAUUAACACAAAUAAAACAUAGAAGCUGUC